This is an RNA transcript of Gossypium raimondii (Peruvian cotton), 1274 nucleotides long. It is a transcript of the gene named CBL-interacting serine/threonine-protein kinase 6-like, with no coding region annotated. The record is from RefSeq and is a predicted model, not a curated record. The transcript has a single exon. NCBI's taxonomy places the organism in Eukaryota, Viridiplantae, Streptophyta, Magnoliopsida, Malvales, Malvaceae.
AGUCAUGGCGAGUAAGUCCAAGAUUUACUUUGCCAUGGAACUUGUUCGAGGCGGUGAACUCUUCUCGAAAAUCGCCAAGGGUCGGCUCAAGGAAGACUUGGCAAGAGUCUAUUUCCAACAGUUGGUUUCCGUUAUCGAUUUCUGUCAUAGCCGUGGGGUUUACCACCGUGAUUUGAAGCCGGAGAAUUUGCUCUUGGAUGAAGAUGGCUGCUUGAAGGUUACAGAUUUUGGUCUCAGCGCUUUCUCUGAGCACUUGAAACAAGACGGGUUAUUGCACACAACAUGUGGAACACCGGCUUAUGUGGCUCCUGAAGUUAUUGGUAAAAAAGGAUACGACGGAGCUAAAGCAGAUCUUUGGUCUUGUGGGGUAAUCCUUUACGUGCUUCUCGCUGGGUUCUUACCAUUUCAAGAUGAUAAUAUGGUAGCCAUGUACAGGAAGAUUUACAGAGGAGAUUUCAAGUGCCCACCUUGGUUUUCCCUGAAGCUCGUAGAUUAAUUACUAAGCUUUUAGAUCCCAACCCAAAUACCCGAAUCACCACUUCAAAGGUGAUGGACUCGUCUUGGUUCAGGAAAUCAAUACCCAAGACUAUUAGAACCAAGGGGGAGCUAGAAUUUGAAGCCUUCAAUGGCGAGAAAUCAUCCAAGCCUGAGACUCUGAACGCUUUCCAUAUCAUUUCCUUAUCCGAGGGCUUCGAUUUGUCACCGUUGUUUGAAGAGAAGAAGAGAGAAGAGAAAGAGGAGCUAAGAUUCGCUACAACAAGGCCAGCGAGCAGUGUAAUAUCGAGACUGGAAGAGGUGGCCAAGUCGAUGAAGUUCAGCGUCAAGAAGAGCGAGUCAAGUGUAAGACUGCAGGGUCAAGAAUGUGGAAGGAAAGGGAAAUUAGCCAUUGCUGCUGACAUUUUCGCAUUAACACCGUCGUUUCUGGUGGUGGAAGUUAAAAAAGACCAUGGUGAUACCCUUGAAUACAACCAGUUUUGCAGUAAAGAGCUCCGACCGGCGCUUAAGGACAUCGUCUGGACGUCGCCCUCCGAUAACUCGACUGUCGCUUGACUUCUAUUAUGUUCUAGACCAUUGUUUCAUAAUGUUGUUAUUAUUGUUUAGAAAGAAAACCAGAAACAGAGGAUGUUCUGGGUUUGGUCGUUUGUGAUUAUGUUAAAGAUGGAAUCAUAUGCGCAUCAUUCGAUUAAAUUUAUUGAUGAUGUUCCAUUUUUACGCCAAUAUUUUCAUGUUUGUAUUGUUUUUCUGCAAGUGGACGGCUUCAGUUUAUGAUUUAA